UUUGAAAGGGGGGAAACCCAGUGUGGCCAGAGGCCUUUAGACCCAGCACUCUGGAGCGCGGGUGGAGCAUUUCGAGUUUGAGGCCGAAGGCUACGUAGUUUGUGAUUGUGUUUUGUUUUGUUUUGUUGUUGAGACGGGGUCUCUAUAGCCCUAGCUGGGCUCGAAGUUACAGAUAUCCAACUAUAUUCCCCCUCCUCAUGCUGCUGGGAUUAAAAGCGUGUGCUACCACGCCGGGCUCCAAGGCUACAUAUAGAAUGAGACCCUGACUCAAAAAAUAAAAAGUAAAGUAAAAUGUUUUCGGAAGUUCUACAGCUAAGUUGAGCAGAUUGGAAGUCGGGAUCUCAGCCGCGCUGGGACAAAUUUAAAGGCUCCUUGCCCGCCAGCCGGGCUUCAUCAAGCUCCCGUUCAGUGGAAGCCAGCUCUCUUGACAGUGCCCCUGGCACACUCUGCUCCCGGCUCACCCAGUCCAAAGCCAUUUGGUGGCGAAUAUCAUCAUCCAGGGCCCGAUGUGAAUAAUGAGCCAACACCUCCUGGUCAGAGAGGAAUGCAAAGACCACUGAGAAGGUGACUCUUACCUGUCGAGAGCACUGCCUCUCCCUCAUGGCCUUAAGGCUGCCAUUCCAGUGCAGCAGCUGAAAAACUGUCAUCAGCUCCUGGGGGAAGAAGAGAGGAAACACCAGUGUGAAGGCCAUUUUUUGUUGUCAACCUGAUGAUAACCCUGGAACUAAAACCCAAUGUGCUGGGUAAGCCUGUGAGGGAUGUUUCUUGAUUGGGUCAUUUGAGGAGGGAAGACAUCCCCACUCCCACCCACUUAAGUCUGGGCCACACCUCAUGGCAGUCUCUAUGAAGGACAUGAAGAAGGAAGCUUGCUCUCUAUGCCUGCUCGCUCUUGCCCUCGCCAGGAAGUCCAGUCCUUCAGUGGCAUUACAGCCUUACUCCUUUGGGACUUUGGUGUGUACUGAAGACUAGCUGAGAUGUCCAGCCUCGUGAACUGAACAGCUACUGGAUUCUAAAACAGUCAUUGUUGGAAAAGUCAGACUACAGCCUAAGCCACACUAAUAAACCGGGUUGCGAGUGCACAUGCACUCUCAGUUCUGUUUCUCUAGAGAACCCUGACUAAUACAACCAGGAUAGUGAUCUUAAGUUAGCAGACUGCAUCAGAAUCAUGGGAAACAUUUUACAAAUCAUUUUAUGGAAGCAUCUAUAAUUACCAAUUCUGGUUUGCACCUUGAGGGGGAAGAGAAGAUCGUACAUGGUAAAGAUCUAAUCACCUUCUCUCCCUGUGUCUUUUUCUGAAUAAGGAGGUAAAGAUUAGUAGGUGGCAUUCAACUUGCUGUGUCAGGCUGCCCUGCUUUAUUAGAGCCAGAAGUGUGAGUGGAACCAUACCUGGAACUCCAGCAUUGACUUGCCCUUGUUAGAUUCCAGCAUGAAUCGGAAGGCACCAAUGCCCGUGUUUGGGUUGUCAGCUUCCUCUCUGUUACCCUGGUAACAGAAGAAAGAAAAAGACAAAUAGAUUCUCAGUCAGAAUUAUUUUGACCGGCAGCAUCCAAUAGAUAUUAGUCACAGUUUUGUGCUUAUGUGUGCAUGUGCAUGUGUGCUCAUCUGCCGGCCAGAGGCUAGUGCUGUUCCUUAGGAGCACUGACCACCUCCUGUCAGACAGGGUGCCAGGCCUGAGGCUCACCAGGUAGGCUAGACUGGCUGGCCAAAGAGCCCAGGGAUCCUGGAACUAUCCAUGAGAGCUACCACAGUUGGCACUUUAAAUGGGCUUUGGGGAUCAAGGCAAAUGCUUUACCUGCUAACUCAUCCUUUAGCCCUUCAUGAGCUACAUAUUUAAUUUUCAAAGAUUUUUUUAUGUGUGUAUGUUUGUAUAUCGUGUGGAUGUCAACAGAGGCCAGAGGAAGGCGGCAGCUUCCCCUUGGAGCUGCAGUUACAGACAGCUCACCUGACAUAGGGCACCAAACUCUGGUCCUUUUAGAAAGCAGCAAGUACUUUUUAACUCCUGAGCCAUUCUUCUCGCUCCCGUAUGUUUAGUUUUAAAUUUUUCAGUUGCCACAUUGAAAUAAAAAUAAAUAGUUUAAGAGUAUAGUGUCUGUGUUUACGGAGGCCAGAUAUUAAUGUUGGGUAUCUUUUCUCUCUCUCCACUUUUACUUGUUGUUCUUUGUUUGUUUUAAAGAUUUAUUAAUUUAUUUUAUGUAUAUGAGUAUAUUGUAGCCAUCUUCAGACACACCAGAAGAGGGCAUCAGAUCCUAUUACAGAUGGUUGUGAGCCACUAUGUAGUUGCUAGGAAUGAACUCAGGACCUCUGGAAGAACAGUCAGUGCUCUUAACCGCUGAGCCAUGUGUCCAGCCCAUUUUUUUGUUUUUUUUUAUAUUGUUUGAGACAGUUCUACUAUGUAUCUCUGGCUGUCCUAGAACUCAAUUUGUAGACCAGUCUAGCCUUGAACUCAGAGAUCCACCUGCCUUUGCCUCCUGCGUGUCAGAAUUAAAGAUGUGUACUACCACCA
Long non-coding RNA from Apodemus sylvaticus (European woodmouse), 2503 nucleotides. RefSeq lists it as uncharacterized. Lineage: Eukaryota; Metazoa; Chordata; Mammalia; Rodentia; Muridae. The transcript is spliced from 3 exons. The record is from RefSeq and is a predicted model, not a curated record.